Molecule: ribosomal RNA, 444 nt
Filed under: uncultured bacterium
Lineage: Bacteria
Description: partial 16S ribosomal RNA
Rfam family: Bacterial small subunit ribosomal RNA
Source: RNAcentral
CUACGGGUGGCACCAGUGGGGAAUAUUGCACAAUGGGCGCAAGCCUGAUGCAGCAACGCCGCGUGAGGGACGAAGGCCUUCGGGUUGUAAACCUCUUUUAGCAGGGAAGAAGCGAAAGUGACGGUACCUGCAGAAAAAGCACCGGCUAACCACGUGCCAGCAGCCGCGGUAAUACGUAGGGUGCAAGCGUUGUCCGGAAUUAUUGGGCGUAAAGAGCUCGUAGGCGGUUUGUCACGUCUGCUGUGAAGUUUCGAGGCUCAACCUCGAACUUGCAGUGGGUACGGGCAGGCUAGAGUGCGGUAGGGGAGAUGGGAAUUCCUGGUGUAGCGGUGGUAUGCGCAGAUAUCAGGAGGAACACCAAUGGCGAAGACACAUCUCUGGGCCGUAACUGACGCUGAGGAGCGAAAGCGUGGGGAGCGAACAGGAUUAGAUACCCGAGUAGUC